This 1422-nucleotide ribosomal RNA is filed under the name Triticum aestivum (bread wheat). RNAcentral describes it as "partial small subunit ribosomal RNA". The record is from RNAcentral. Lineage: Eukaryota; Viridiplantae; Streptophyta; Magnoliopsida; Poales; Poaceae.
AUGGCGGAGACGGCGCCGGCGACGGCGCUGGACAUCGACGAGAUCCCCUUCGCCGACCUCCUCCUCCUCCUGCUCUCGCCGGAAGCGGCAGCAGCGGGCGACGACAGCGACACCGAUGGCCGGCGCCGCCGCCUCCUGGCCACCGUCUGGGCCGCGCUCGGCCCGGGCGGCGCCGGCCUGCUGGCCGUCGCGGGCGUCCCGCGCGCCGCCGCCCUCCGCCGCCGUCUCCUCCCCCUGGCCCGCCGCCUCGCCCUAAUGGACCACCCGUCCCGUGCCCACCUCCUCAAGAAGCACGGAUUGGGCAGCGACGUGCCUCUCAAGAAGCCCGACAGGUCCGUCUCCUCCUUGGCGCAGCUCCUAAGGUAUGAUUCAGGCAAGCUCCACUCCUCAGAGUUUAUGCGCGAAGCCACCGGAGACACCGAGAUCAGGCCUGGUUGUCCGGAGGAGGUACUGGAAGGUGCCGAUGGAUUUGGGGAGCACAAUGGUGAUGAUGAUGAUGAUGAUGAUGAUGAUGAUGAUGAUCAUGAUAUUGAGAACCUUGGUGAGCUUUUCAAGGAGCUGGGUCUGUGCAUGAUGGAGCUUGGCAUCUUGGUUGCGCGGGCUUGCGACAUUGUUAUCGGUGGGAAUCAGCUGGAGCAGAGCAUUACCGACUUUGGCAGCGCAAAGGCGAGGCUCAUCCACUACCACUCUGAGUUGGAUAACAGGAUUAUCAAGGAGAGGAGCAGCACAAAGAGGAGAAGCUUGGCAAACAAUGCAGCAGCAGCAGCAAGACGUUUAUCGGAUCACAUGGAUACAGGUCAAAUGUCAGGAUCAGAAGAUGGAUCCUGUAUCAAAUCAGCAGAAGAAAAUAGUUUGAUUUCUCUUGUCAACUUAUGGCAAGAGUGGCACUACGAUUACGGGGUGCUGACAGUCUUAACAGCGCCAUUAUUCUUGCGCUCUGCUCUCGGACAGGAAUGCCCGGCCAGCGAAGAAUGCUCUCUUCCUGACGGGCACUCACACCUGCAGCUCUUCAAUAAAAGGAGGAUAUUCUCAGUGAGAUGCUCCCAGGAGAGCUUCAUUGUUCAGGUUGGGGAGGCAGCAGGCAUCCUGUCAGGGGGGAAGCUGAGAUCCACGCUUCAUGCUGUGAGUAGACCAUUAGGCUUGCCAAACAUCAGCCGAGAGACUUUCGUGGUUUUCCUACAGCCGUCAUGGGACAAAACUCUACCUUUCUUGGGCUACUCUUCUGCCGAUGAAGAUGAUUCAAGUGAUCACAUGGAAUUGGCUUUCAGGGGUGAUGGACCAGCCGGGUCUUGUAGUGAACAUAUAUUGAUGCAAGGAAUUCUGAAGAAAAUCCCCCCGCUGUCGUCAAGGCUGAAAGAAGGCAUGACGUUUGCAGAGUACUUUUUAUCUUCAUUGAUGGAUUAUUUUCUUCUGCAGUUGUGA